CCUACGGGUGGCAGCAGUAGGGAAUAUUGCUCAAUGGGGGAAACCCUGAAGCAGCAACGCCGCGUGGAGGAUGAAGGUUUUCGGAUUGUAAACUCCUUUUGUUAGAGAAGAUAAUGACGGUAUCUAACGAAUAAGCACCGGCUAACUCCGUUCCAGCAGCCGCGGUAAUACGGAGGGUGCAAGCGUUACUCGGAAUCACUGGGCGUAAAGAGCGCGUAGGCGGGAUAGCAAAUCAGAUGUGAAAUCCUAUGGCUUAACGUUAGAACUGCAUUUGAAACUGUUAUUCUAGAGUAUGGGAGAGGUAGGUGGAAUUCUUGGUGUAGGGGUGAAAUGCGUAGAGAUCACGAGGAAUACUCAUUGCGAAGGCGACCUGCUAGAACAUAACUGACGCUGAUGCGCGAAAGCGUGGGGAGCAAACAGGAUUAGAUACCCGGGUAGUC
This 440-nucleotide ribosomal RNA is filed under the name uncultured bacterium. RNAcentral's name for it is "partial 16S ribosomal RNA". It matches the Rfam family "Bacterial small subunit ribosomal RNA", at positions 338 to 795 of the family's 1533-position model. The record is from RNAcentral.